AUUGAACGCUGGCGGCAUGCCUUACACAUGCAAGUCGAACGGUAACAGGUCUUCGGAUGCUGACGAGUGGCGAACGGGUGAGUAAUACAUCGGAACGUGCCUAGUAGUGGGGGAUAACUACUCGAAAGAGUGGCUAAUACCGCAUGAGAUCUACGGAUGAAAGCAGGGGAUCGCAAGACCUUGUGCUACUAGAGCGGCCGAUGGCAGCUUAGGUAGUUGGUGGGAUAAAAGCUUACCAAGCCGACGAUCUGUAGCUGGUCUGAGAGGACGAUAAGCCAAACUGGGACUGGGACACGGCCCAGAAUCCUACGGGAGGCAGCAGUGGGGAAGUUUGGAGAAUGGGCGCAAGCCUGAUCCAGCAAUGCCGCGUGCAGGAUGAAGGCCUUCGGGUUGUAAACUGCUUUUGUACGGAACGAAAAGCCCCGGGUUAAUACCCUGGGGUCAUGACGGUACCGUAAGAAUAAGCACCGGCUAACUACGUGCCAGCAGCCGCCGUAA
This 498-nucleotide ribosomal RNA is filed under the name uncultured bacterium. RNAcentral's name for it is "partial 16S ribosomal RNA". It matches the Rfam family "Bacterial small subunit ribosomal RNA", at positions 30 to 523 of the family's 1533-position model. The record is from RNAcentral.